UCUCUCUCUCUCUCUCUCUCUCUCUCUCUCUCGCACGGACACACUACAAGCAGCGCCACCGCCCUCCCGCCGCCGGCGCAGGGACCCUCCCCCUCCCUUGCUGCGAGCUGCUUCGGCAGGGACUGCCCCUCCCCUGCCUCCUCAGUCCCCACGGCUGUCGAGACGGACGCCCUUCCCUUCCCUAUCCACCUCCGUUGGUGGAGGCGCAGAGUUUGCCUCCACCAGAUCCUCUGUCGCGGACUCGUCGUGAGCGCUGGAGGGCUCUACAACGCCUACCUCCUCCUCCCGCGGGACAAGACGCAGAAUCGGAGCGAGCGCCGGGGAGGACGCCCUGCUCCGAUGGGUUGGGCGUGUCGCGAGCUUCGCCGUGUGGCCAAGUACGGCGUGCUCCAGAGUGGAUGGUCGACGCCCUCCCCACCUCGCCCGUGACUGGUUUAGCUCUGACAGAAACAGCUAUGGGACAGGUACAACAUGAAGUUGGGUUCUAGUCUUUUAGCUACAGUGCAGGGAAGCAAGCUUGGAUUCACUGAAUGAUGUGUACACACCAAGUGCACCUCGCUUUCAUAAUAGCAAGCAACCCCAUUCUGAGAUUCUUCUGAUUAUGACACUCUUAAUAAUUGAAGGGGAGAGUUGGUGUUCAUGAAACCAGAUUGAUUUGCUUGGUACAGAGUAUGAGCAUUGUUUCCCGUGAGCUAGCUUCCUAUGCCCAGCUGGUGGCUUAAU
Long non-coding RNA from Triticum dicoccoides, 723 nucleotides. RefSeq lists it as uncharacterized. Lineage: Eukaryota; Viridiplantae; Streptophyta; Magnoliopsida; Poales; Poaceae. The transcript has 4 exons. The record is from RefSeq and is a predicted model, not a curated record.